RNAcentral lists this ribosomal RNA (119 nucleotides) under Pteropus alecto (black flying fox). Lineage: Eukaryota; Metazoa; Chordata; Mammalia; Chiroptera; Pteropodidae. The record is from RNAcentral.
AUCUACAGCCAUGCCACCUUGAACAAGCCCGAUCCUGUCUGAUUUCGCAAGCUAAGCAGGGUCAGGCCUGGUUAGUACUUGGAUGGGAGACCACCCAGGAAGACGAGAUGCUGUAGGCG